RNAcentral lists this long non-coding RNA (760 nucleotides) under Homo sapiens (human). RNAcentral's name for it is "HSALNT0021943". The record is from RNAcentral. Lineage: Eukaryota; Metazoa; Chordata; Mammalia; Primates; Hominidae.
CCUUUGAGCGCUGGUUUGUCCUAGGACAAUCGGAUUUCACCGGGUCGGGGAAGGUGUGAUUAUGAAAAUAAACAAGGGAAGUGAGGGAAAUAUAACCAAGUGGAAAAAGGAAAUGGAGUGCAAAUUGAGAACAUAAUCCAGAAUUCGUAAAAGUGGUAUGGAUAAAGAAGGUCAAAAUGGUCUCUGAUGAAAAGAAACUUUUAAAAUGCUUGGAAAAGUUAAUGAAUUAGAUUUCCCUGCACUUGAAGAUAUUAGGAUUGGGAGAUCAAGACUCCCAUCAGCCAAAUCAAGAAUAUUCACAAUUGACAGGAAAACUCAAAGUUUCUUUUUCCCCACCAGAGAAAUGUCUCCCACCCCCAUAGCUAAACAGUGGUAAGUCAUAGAAAUGAUUAUAUUAGCUUAAAGAGAAUGUUUCCUAAGCAAUAAACUUCAAGUGCACACAACCUAGUUUUUAUUUUAUUUAUUUCAUGUAGUUUGUCAUAAGUGCUUGAAAAUACUUCUUGCAAAAAUGUCCUUUUUAACUUUAUAAAACUUGUUUUCUGCUGUGGAUAAAAUUACUAUGUGAUAAACUAUAGUUUUUUUUUAAAGUCUUUGCAGCAAUAAUGAAAGUUCAAUGAAAAGAACAUAACUAGAAGCGAUGUGCAACACCCCUUUAUUUUUAAAUAGCCUUUAAAUGAUUUACGAAAUAAAAAUGCUAGUUCAGUUUCCCUUAAAUAACCAGUAUUUCACCAAAUAUUUUCUGCGUUCUUAAAUGUUCAAA